RNAcentral lists this ribosomal RNA (433 nucleotides) under uncultured bacterium. RNAcentral's name for it is "partial 16S ribosomal RNA". It matches the Rfam family "Bacterial small subunit ribosomal RNA", at positions 29 to 507 of the family's 1533-position model. The record is from RNAcentral.
AACGAACGCUGGCGGCAUGCCUAACACAUGCGAGUCGAACGAGACCUUCGGGUCUAGUGGCGCACGGGUGCGUAACGCGUGGGAAUCUGCCCUUGGGUUCGGAAUAACAGUUGGAAACGACUGCUAAUACCGGAUGAUGACGUAAGUCCAAAGAUUUAUCGCCCAAGGAUGAGCCCGCGUAGGAUUAGCUAGUCGGUGAGGUAAAGGCUCACCAAGGCGACGAUCCUUAGCUGGUCUGAGAGGAUGAUCAGCCACACUGGGACUGAGACACGGCCCAGACUCCUACGGGAGGCAGCAGUGGGGAAUAUUGGACAAUGGGCGAAAGCCUGAUCCAGCAAUGCCGCGUGAGUGAUGAAGGCCUUAGGGUUGUAAAGCUCUUUUACCCGGGAUGAUAAUGACAGUACCGGGAGAAUAAGCUCCGGCUAACUCCGUG